CUUUAUGUCAGACAACCCUCCUGAG
RNAcentral lists this non-coding RNA (25 nucleotides) under Rattus norvegicus (Norway rat). The record is from RNAcentral. Lineage: Eukaryota; Metazoa; Chordata; Mammalia; Rodentia; Muridae.